Molecule: long non-coding RNA, 1824 nt
Filed under: Androctonus crassicauda
Lineage: Eukaryota; Metazoa; Arthropoda; Arachnida; Scorpiones; Buthidae
Source: RNAcentral
UAAGAAUAUCUGGAAUAUGAAUACCGAUGUAAAUCAUUCAUUUUAUGAGUGAAAAAUCUUUGUUUUCGUCAAAGAAUAGAAAAUGGCUGUCUUUGUUGCCCAGGCGAACAGCUGGAAGCAUUCUAUCACCUCUACACUGCGUACGAUAUAUGCUCAUUAAUAAACAACAAUAUUUUGUAUAAAUCGGUUAGUUAAUUAUAAAUAUAAGAUAAAGAGUUUCACCUAUUCUACCUUAAUUAAGAUUAGAUAGUAUUUAAAGCUUUGAAGAUCGAUUAUCAAUAGCAUUAUUUUUGGCGGAAGGUUAUCAGCCAUUUUGCUCUCGGCGGAACGAUUUACAGGGAUGUAAUGCGGUUGGUUAUAAAGGAGAGGCGCAGGAGCUGGAGCUCCGCUGGACCCAAAGUGGGUGAGAGGAGAACUUCGUAUUGUAUGUGGUUGGUAUUGAAAACUGGUUUAAGAAAAAAAUAUCACAAAAGGGAAGGUAUAACUUCAGUGCUUAUCAACAUUGCCUAUUCAUCUAUCUAUAGACUUUUUAUACUUUUUUACUCAAGCAAGAUAACAUAUUGAUUGUAUGUCUACCUGACGAAAGGUGAGUGUGUCAGCCCUACUGGCCGACUGCCCUGCAGCCCUCUAUCCCUCUUAUUCGUGAUUAUGUUUAUAUAUUCUAUAUCUCAUUGACGGAUAUAUUAAAAUUAGUCAAUAUUUAUAAGGAAUGUUAAACAAUUUUUUCUAAUUAUACUUAAAAGGAAAUUUGUUCUUCCUUAUACUAAUAUCGUAACCGGCAUCUUAAACUAGUUUUACUCUGCUACUUCAUUCUUGGAGUGUCAAUAUGUUAGUGAAUUAUACAUUUUCUAUUGUAUUUGUUUCAAAUAUUGUUACUUUUCCUUUAAUAUUAUUAUUAGUAUUGCAUAUUAAUGACGAUCUAGAAGAAAGUUUUUCCGAUAAUAACACGCUCCAGUUGGGAUAUAGUUAAUGAGCUUUGAGGAAUUUUUUUUCUUAUAUGCUUGGUACUAGCUACGAUUAUUAACCGUUACGUCAUUUGUGUGCACAUACAACAAAAUGAACACCUGUCAUCUGGAUGUAUAGGUAGUGAACAUGUUUAAAUUGUCAUCUUAUAUUUGGAAAUUUUUCUUUUUAAACAGUUUUCUAUAUAUGUGUUUGACUUGAACAGAUGUUUGUUUGAUUUUUGUUCGAAUGUGUGAUUGCAUGGAAGAUUAUUGAUUUUCGAUUAAAAUUCCUAAUUUAGAUUUUCAAGAGUUAAUAUGUUUUUUUUUUUUUUUUUUUCAAAAACAGAAGUGAACAAUCUGCCGAUUUUCAAAUGUUUUAGCUACUUACUAACUAUGGGAGAUUGCAUAUUAUUUUUAUGAUAAUUCUUGAAAUUCUGUGAAUUUAUACGGAAUAAUAAUCGAUUCUGUUAUUUUCGAAAGCUGUUUCUUCGUACUACGCUACACCAUGCUAUUUUAGGACCUCCCCUAUUUCCGGUGUGUUUUUGGUUAUAGAAAAGAGCAAUACUAUUAUUGGAGCUUGAAAGUAUACAGAGUUCGCAUCUCUUAAUGAAAAACUUAUUUAUAUUUUUUGUUUUUAUAUUAGUUUUGAUUUCCGAUUCCUGUUUAGGAACCUUUAUAUAAAGAACUGAUUAGCGGAAAACUAUCGACUUUUUUGUAUUUACACUCGUUGCACAGCUAUUAGUUACCGAUCUGAUUUUUGUGUGGUAACAGCAGUGCCUGGUAUUUAAUAAUUUUAUUCUUAAUCGGUAAAAAUUCCUCGUAAGCAUUACUUUUUAUCGAUUAUGGGAUUUAACAGACCAUGCAAAUUUUUAUUUUCAUA